AUUGAACGCUGGCGGCAGGCCUAACACAUGCAAGUCGAACGGUAGCAGGAAGCAGCUUGCUGCUUCGCUGACGAGUGGCGGACGGGUGAGUAAUGUCUGGGAAGCUGCCUGAUGGAGGGGGAUAACUACUGGAAACGGUAGCUAAUACCGCAUAAUGUCGCAAGACCAAAGAGGGGGACCUUCGGGCCUCUUGCCAUCGGAUGUGCCCAGAUGGGAUUAGCUUGUUGGUGGGGUAACGGCUCACCAAGGCGACGAUCCCUAGCUGGUCUGAGAGGAUGACCAGCCACACUGGAACUGAGACACGGUCCAGACUCCUACGGGAGGCAGCAGUGGGGAAUAUUGCACAAUGGGCGCAAGCCUGAUGCAGCCAUGCCGCGUGUAUGAAGAAGGCCUUCGGGUUGUAAAGUACUUUCAGCGGGGAGGAAGGGAGUAAAGUUAAUACCUUUGCUCAUUGACGUUACCCGCAGAAGAAGCACCGGCUAACUCCGUGCCAGCAGCCGCGGUAAUACGGAGGGUGCAAGCGUUAAUCGGAAUUACUGGGCGUAAAGCGCACGCAGGCGGUUUGUUAAGUCAGAUGUGAAAUCCCCGGGCUCAACCUGGGAACUGCAUCUGAUACUGGCAAGCUUGAGUCUCGUAGAGGGGGGGUAGAAUUCCAGGUGUAGCGGUGAAAUGCGUAGAGAUCUGGAGGAAUACCGGUGGCGAAGGCGGCCCCCUGGACAAAGACUGACGCUCAGGUGCGAAAGCGUGGGGAGCAAACAGG
This 760-nucleotide ribosomal RNA is filed under the name uncultured Enterobacteriaceae bacterium. RNAcentral's name for it is "bacterial SSU rRNA". It matches the Rfam family "Bacterial small subunit ribosomal RNA", at positions 28 to 776 of the family's 1533-position model. The record is from RNAcentral. Lineage: Bacteria; Pseudomonadati; Pseudomonadota; Gammaproteobacteria; Enterobacterales; Enterobacteriaceae.